This 81-nucleotide transfer RNA is filed under the name Paragonimus westermani. RNAcentral describes it as "tRNA-Cys". It matches the Rfam family "tRNA". Rfam says of the family: Transfer RNA (tRNA) molecules are approximately 80 nucleotides in length. Their secondary structure includes four short double-helical elements and three loops (D, anti-codon, and T loops). Further hydrogen bonds mediate the characteristic L-shaped molecular structure. tRNAs have two regions of fundamental functional importance: the anti-codon, which is responsible for specific mRNA codon recognition, and the 3' end, to which the tRNAs corresponding amino acid is attached (by aminoacyl-tRNA synthetases). tRNAs cope with the degeneracy of the genetic code in two manners: having more than one tRNA (with a specific anti-codon) for a particular amino acid; and 'wobble' base-pairing, i.e. permitting non-standard base-pairing at the 3rd anti-codon position. The record is from RNAcentral. Lineage: Eukaryota; Metazoa; Platyhelminthes; Trematoda; Plagiorchiida; Troglotrematidae.
GGUUUCGUAGCUCAGCCGGUAGAGCGCGUGCCGCAAUGAGGCAUGCUAUGUCUCUCGCUGGUUCGAAUCCAGCCGAAGCCC